RNAcentral lists this ribosomal RNA (465 nucleotides) under uncultured bacterium. Its description in RNAcentral is "partial 16S ribosomal RNA". It matches the Rfam family "Bacterial small subunit ribosomal RNA", at positions 339 to 795 of the family's 1533-position model. The record is from RNAcentral.
CUACGGGGUGCAGCAGUGGGGAAUAUUGCACAAUGGGCGCAAGCCUGAUGCAGCCAUGCCGCGUGUAUGAAGAAGGCCUUCGGGUUGUAAAGUACUUUCAGCGGGGAGGAAGGGAGUAAAGUUAAUACCUUUGCUCAUUGACGUUACCCGCAGAAGAAGCACCGGCUAACUCCGUGCCAGCAGCCGCGGUAAUACGGGAGGGUGCAAGCGUUAAUCGGAAUUACUGGGCGUAAAGCGCACGCAGGCGGUUUGUUAAGUCAGAUGUGAAGUCCCCGGGCUCAACCUGGGAACUGCAUCUGAUACUGGCAAGCUUGAGUCUCGUAGAGGGGGGUAGAAUUCCAGGUGUAGCGGUGAAAUGCGUAGAGAUCUGGAGGAAUACCGGUGGCGAAGGCGGCCCCCUGGACGAAGACUGACGCUCAGGUGCGAAAGCGUGGGGAGCAAACAGGAUUAGAUACCCCAGUAGUC